UACGUAGGGCGCAAGCGUUGUCCGGAAUUAUUGGGCGUAAAGAGCUCGUAGGCGGCUUGUCACGUCGGGUGUGAAAGCCCGGGGCUUAACCCCGGGUCUGCAUUCGAUACGGGCUGGCUAGAGUGUGGUAGGGGGAGAUCGGAAUUCCUGGUGUAGCGGUGAAAUGCGCAGAUAUCAGGAGGAACACCGGUGGCGAAGGCGGAUCUCUGGGCCAUUACUGACGCUGAGGGAAGCGAAAGGCGU
This 243-nucleotide ribosomal RNA is filed under the name uncultured bacterium. RNAcentral describes it as "partial 16S ribosomal RNA". It matches the Rfam family "Bacterial small subunit ribosomal RNA", at positions 524 to 763 of the family's 1533-position model. The record is from RNAcentral.